This 610-nucleotide ribosomal RNA is filed under the name uncultured bacterium. RNAcentral's name for it is "bacterial SSU rRNA". It matches the Rfam family "Bacterial small subunit ribosomal RNA", at positions 338 to 951 of the family's 1533-position model. The record is from RNAcentral.
CCUACGGGAGGCAGCAGUGAGGAAUAUUGGUCAAUGGGCGCAAGCCUGAACCAGCCAUGCCGCGUGCAGGAUGACGGUCCUAUGGAUUGUAAACUGCUUUUGUACAGGAAGAAACACUCCCUCGUGAGGGAGCUUGACGGUACUGUAAGAAUAAGGAUCGGCUAACUCCGUGCCAGCAGCCGCGGUAAUACGGAGGAUCCAAGCGUUAUCCGGAAUCAUUGGGUUUAAAGGGUCCGUAGGCGGGUUUAUAAGUCAGUGGUGAAAGCCCAUCGCUCAACGAUGGAACGGCCAUUGAUACUGUAGAUCUUGAAUUAUUAGGAAGUAACUAGAAUAUGUAGUGUAGCGGUGAAAUGCUUAGAGAUUACAUGGAAUACCGAUUGCGAAGGCAGGUUACUACUAAUGGAUUGACGCUGAUGGACGAAAGCGUGGGUAGCGAACAGGAUUAGAUACCCUGGUAGUCCACGCCGUAAACGAUGGAUACUAGCUGUUCGGAGCAAUCUGAGUGGCUAAGCGAAAGUGAUAAGUAUCCCACCUGGGGAGUACGUUCGCAAGAAUGAAACUCAAAUGAAUUGAGGCGUGAGACGNGCGAGGACGACGACGAGGGAGGAGG